CCUACGGGUGGCAGCAGUGAGGAAUAUUGGUCAAUGGACGAGAGUCUGAACCAGCCAAGUAGCGUGAAGGAUGACUGCCCUAUGGGUUGUAAACUUCUUUUAUAUGGGAAUAAAAUGUUCCACGUGUGGGAUUUUGUAUGUACCAUAUGAAUAAGGAUCGACUAACUCCGUGCCAGCAGCCGCGGUAAUACGGAGGAUCCGAGCGUUAUCCGGAUUUAUUGGGUGUAAAGGGAGCGUAGGUGGAUUGGUAAGUCAGUUGUGAAAGUUUGCGGCUCAACCGGAAAAUUGCAGUUGAAACUGGCAGUCUUGAGUACAGUAGAGGUGGGCGGAAUUCGUGGUGUAGCGGUGAAAUGCUUAGAUAUCACGAAGAACUCCGAUUGCGAAGGCAGUUCACUGGACUGCAACUGACACUGAGGCUCGAAAGUGUGGGUAUCAAACAGGAUUAGAUACCCUAGUAGUC
Molecule: ribosomal RNA, 460 nt
Filed under: uncultured bacterium
Lineage: Bacteria
Description: partial 16S ribosomal RNA
Rfam family: Bacterial small subunit ribosomal RNA
Source: RNAcentral